UCGAGAAUCAUUCGCAAUGGGCGAAAGCCUGACGAUGCGACGCUGUGUGUAUGAUGAAGGCCUUCGGGUCGUAAAGUACUCUCGCCUGGGAACAAGAGAAGCCGGCUAACAUCCGGCUAAUUUGAGGGUACCAGGUAAAGAAGCACCGGCUAACUACGUGCCAGCAGCUGCGGUAAUACGUAGGGUGCAAGCAUUAAUCGGAAUUAUUGGGCGUAGAGGGCGCGUAGGCGGGAAUGUAAGUCAGAUGUGA
RNAcentral lists this ribosomal RNA (250 nucleotides) under uncultured bacterium. Its description in RNAcentral is "partial 16S ribosomal RNA". It matches the Rfam family "Bacterial small subunit ribosomal RNA", at positions 355 to 597 of the family's 1533-position model. The record is from RNAcentral.